GGCUACGGCCAUAUCACGAUGAAUGCACCUCAUCCCGUCCGAUUUGAGAAGUUAAGCAUCGUCGAGCCACAUCAGUACUGAGGUUGGAGACAACUUGGGAACCUGUAAAUUCAUUUUAC
This 119-nucleotide ribosomal RNA is filed under the name Naegleria gruberi. Lineage: Eukaryota; Heterolobosea; Eutetramitea; Acrasida; Naegleriidae. The record is from RNAcentral.